GUGAGUAGUUCAGAGUUUGAUCCUGGCUCAGGAUGAACGCUAGCUACAGGCUUAACACAUGCAAGUCGAGGGGCAGCACAGUGUAGCAAUACACGGGUGGCGACCGGCGCACGGGUGCGUAACGCGUAUGUAACCUACCUCAAACAGGGGCAUAACACUGAGAAAUUGGUACUAAUUCCCCAUAACACCUGAUAGGGCAUCCUAUUGGGUUGAAAGUUCCGGCGGUUUGAGAUGGACAUGCGUUGUAUUAGCUAGUUGGUGAGGUAACGGCUCACCAAGGCGACGAUACAUAGGGGGACUGAGAGGUUAACCCCCCACAUUGGUACUGAGACACGGACCAA
RNAcentral lists this ribosomal RNA (341 nucleotides) under uncultured bacterium. RNAcentral describes it as "bacterial SSU rRNA". It matches the Rfam family "Bacterial small subunit ribosomal RNA", at positions 1 to 334 of the family's 1533-position model. The record is from RNAcentral.